GGUAGCGUGGCCGAGCGGUCUAAGCGCUGGUUUAAGGCACCAUUCAUUUCGAUGGCGUGGGUUCGAAUCCCACCGCUGCCA
Strongylocentrotus purpuratus (purple sea urchin) is the source of this 81-nucleotide non-coding RNA. Lineage: Eukaryota; Metazoa; Echinodermata; Echinoidea; Camarodonta; Strongylocentrotidae. The record is from Rfam.